UACAGAGGGUGCAAGCGUUAUUCGGAAUUACUGGGCGUAAAGCGCGCGUAGGUGGUUUGUUAAGUCUGAUGUGAAAGCCCCGGGCUUAACCUGGGAACUGCGUUGGAAACUGAAAGACUAGAGUACGGCAGAGGGGGGUAGAAUUCCACGUGUAGCAGUGAAAUGCGUAGAUAUGUGGAGGAAUACCGAUGGCGAAGGCAGCCCCCUGGGUCGAUACUGACGCUCAUGCACGAAAGCGUGGGUAGCAAACAGG
Molecule: ribosomal RNA, 253 nt
Filed under: uncultured bacterium
Lineage: Bacteria
Description: partial 16S ribosomal RNA
Rfam family: Bacterial small subunit ribosomal RNA
Source: RNAcentral